Solea senegalensis (Senegalese sole) is the source of this 1071-nucleotide long non-coding RNA. RefSeq lists it as uncharacterized. NCBI's taxonomy places the organism in Eukaryota, Metazoa, Chordata, Actinopteri, Pleuronectiformes, Soleidae. The record is from RefSeq and is a predicted model, not a curated record. The transcript has 3 exons.
AGCAGCAGCAGCAGCAGCAAACAUCUGGAGGGAGCACGAGGAACAUCCACUUCUCAGGACAGGCCCUCCCAUAUAAGGAGAGGGGCGGGGCCAGCGCGGGUGUUGGGUUUCACAGCCAGAGAACGUGACUGCAAUGGUCGUCUGAGCGAAAGCGGCUCCUAACUUACCUGCUCUCCGGAGGCGGCUCGUCGUCCCUGAACAUACCCGCUUGUUUUUGGGGCUUUUUUUUUUUUUACGUUCGAGGUGAGCGCGGGAUGCUGAUUUCACGCGGCGCCACCGAGAGUGGAAAACUUUGACAAAGUGGACUCCUGCGGCGGAGAAAAAAUAACUUCCAGCAGCCGAGGAGGAGGAGGAGGAGGAGAAGGAGAAGGAGAACUUGGAGCACCAGCAGGAGCAGUGUGAGGAGACCAGGAGGAGGAGGAGGAGGAGGAGGAGUCAACAGGUCCAGAGUUUAGGAGCUGCAAUCGAUUGAAUAGGAGAUUUCCUUGGACACAGACGGGGAGAUUGACAUUUUAGGGAAACGGGGCUCAUCCAAGCAAUCGAUGCAGGCGGUCCACCAGCUGAAAGCCCAGUCAGCCGAACAGCACAGCACUCAAUCAGUCUGACCAGCAGCGCAAACCGACAGAGGUAGACACAUGCCGCGUGUAGUUCAGCACUGGAUCUCAGAAACGAACGCAUUUCAUUAACCGUAUGCACACAUGUGCAGCAGCAGUGAAUGAGUUCCACACAUCAAAACAAAGUCAAAUUCAUGUUUAAAACGCCACUGGAGCGCCUUGGGCUCGCGUCUCCUCGCCACAGUCCACAUGUCUAUCUUUGAAUACUCUAGGUGCCGUGCUAAUUAAACUUCCAGACAAAGCAACUGCUGUGUUUCUCCUCUGUUUAUGGCAGCUGAAUGGGCUUUGUCUGCGACCACAGUGAGUACGCGUGUGGUUUUCCCUUCGCUGGUUGCCGUGUCAGUAUGUGUUGACAGUGGUCACGCGCUGUGCAACCACACCGCGCGGCUUUUCUUCCACUGGUUUGCUCGUAGUGUGUGUUCACAGGACAUGCAGUGUGUGUGUGUGUGUGUGUGAA